GUGCCAGCCGCCGCGGUAAUACAGAGGGGGCAAGCGUUGUUCGGAAUUACUGGGCGUAAAGGGCGCGUAGGCGGCCUUCUAAGUCGAACGUGAAAUCCCCGGGCUCAACCCGGGAACUGCGUCCGAGACUGAAAGGCUCGAAUCCGGGAGAGGGAUGUGGAAUUCCAGGUGUAGCGGUGAAAUGCGUAGAUAUCUGGAGGAACAUCGGUGGCGAAGGCGGCAUCCUGGACCGGUAUUGACGCUGAGGCGCGAAAGCCAGGGGAGCAAACGGGAUUAGAAACCCUCGUAGUCC
This 292-nucleotide ribosomal RNA is filed under the name uncultured bacterium. RNAcentral describes it as "partial 16S ribosomal RNA". It matches the Rfam family "Bacterial small subunit ribosomal RNA", at positions 505 to 796 of the family's 1533-position model. The record is from RNAcentral.